RNAcentral lists this ribosomal RNA (311 nucleotides) under uncultured bacterium. Its description in RNAcentral is "bacterial SSU rRNA". It matches the Rfam family "Bacterial small subunit ribosomal RNA", at positions 28 to 341 of the family's 1533-position model. The record is from RNAcentral.
GAUGAACGCUAGCGGCAGGCCUAACACAUGCAAGUCGAGGGGUAGAGUUCUUCGGGACUUGAGACCGGCGCACGGGUGCGUAACGCGUAUGCAAUCUACCUUAUACAGGGGAAUAGCCCCAGAGAAAUUUGGAUUAAUGCCCCAUAGUGUUAUCGAAUCGCAUGGUUUGAUAACUAAAGUUCCAACGGUAUAAGAUGAGCAUGCGUCCCAUUAGUUAGUUGGUAAGGUAACGGCUUACCAAGACAAUGAUGGGUAGGGGUCCUGAGAGGGAGAUCCCCCACACUGGUACUGAGACACGGACCAGACUCCUA